GAAAACUACAGGAACGGACACAAUGAGUACUUUAUCAGAACAAUAAAAGGCAAAACCCAACCUUAUCUGCAAAGACCACAAGGCAUGUCUCCACAAGGUCUCUCUAGAAGCAAUGACACACAUAAAAGACAGGUAACAGACCUUACACACAGGAGUACAGGAAUCCAGUUUGUCUAGCUCCACUAAUCAUUGGAGUGAAAGAGAAUUCAGCUAAAAGCAAUGCCAACUAUCUGGGAUCUCUGCAUUGACCGUGCUUGGUUGUUUAUUCAGAAUUCAGUCUGCCAUGGAACACCAUCUGGAUCUUACUUUUCUGAAGAAAUCAAUCUCACUACACUACAAUUAAUACAGCAGUAAAGUAAUUACAUGCAUUGU
Long non-coding RNA from Bufo gargarizans (Asiatic toad), 372 nucleotides. RefSeq lists it as uncharacterized. NCBI's taxonomy places the organism in Eukaryota, Metazoa, Chordata, Amphibia, Anura, Bufonidae. The record is from RefSeq and is a predicted model, not a curated record. The transcript has 4 exons.